CCUACGGGGGGCAGCAGUGAGGAAUAUUGGUCAAUGGCCGGAAGGCUGAACCAGCCAUGCCGCGUGAAGGUCAGUGCCCUAUGGGCGUUAAACUUCUUUUGUGCGGGAGCAAUAAUGGUCACGUGUGGCCAGACGAGAGUACCGUACGAAUAAGCAUCGGCUAACUCCGUGCCAGCAGCCGCGGUAAUACGGGGGAUGCAAGCGUUAUCCGGAUUUAUUGGGUUUAAAGGGUGCGUAGGCUGUGAGGUAAGUCAGCGGUGAAAUGCCCCCGCUCAACGGGGUGAAGUGCCAUUGAUACUGCCUGGCUGGAAUGCGGAUGCCGUGGGAGGAAUGUGUGGUGUAGCGGUGAAAUGCAUAGAUAUCACACAGAACACCGAUUGCGAAGGCAUCUCACGAAUCCGCGAUUGACGCUGAUGCACGAAAGCGUGGGCAUCAAACAGGAUUAGAUACCCUAGUAGUC
This 460-nucleotide ribosomal RNA is filed under the name uncultured bacterium. RNAcentral describes it as "partial 16S ribosomal RNA". It matches the Rfam family "Bacterial small subunit ribosomal RNA", at positions 338 to 795 of the family's 1533-position model. The record is from RNAcentral.